RNAcentral lists this ribosomal RNA (400 nucleotides) under Stenotrophomonas geniculata. RNAcentral's name for it is "bacterial SSU rRNA". It matches the Rfam family "Bacterial small subunit ribosomal RNA", at positions 29 to 425 of the family's 1533-position model. The record is from RNAcentral. Lineage: Bacteria; Pseudomonadati; Pseudomonadota; Gammaproteobacteria; Lysobacterales; Lysobacteraceae.
AGUGAACGCUGGCGGUAGGCCUAACACAUGCAAGUCGAACGGCAGCACAGAGGAGCUUGCUCCUUGGGUGGCGAGUGGCGGACGGGUGAGGAAUACAUCGGAAUCUACUCUGUCGUGGGGGAUAACGUAGGGAAACUUACGCUAAUACCGCAUACGACCUACGGGUGAAAGCAGGGGAUCUUCGGACCUUGCGCGAUUGAAUGAGCCGAUGUCGGAUUAGCUAGUUGGCGGGGUAAAGGCCCACCAAGGCGACGAUCCGUAGCUGGUCUGAGAGGAUGAUCAGCCACACUGGAACUGAGACACGGUCCAGACUCCUACGGGAGGCAGCAGUGGGGAAUAUUGUUCAAUGGGCGCUAGCCUGAUUUAACCCCCCUCGUUGGUGAAGUAGGACCUCUUAUUG